GCCAGCAGCCAUGUCACCCUGCAACUUACAAUUGGCAGCCCACUGAAGCUAAGCAGGUGUGAGCCUGGUCAGUACCUGAAUGGCAGACCUCCUGGGAAAAACUAAGGUUGCUGCAGGAA
Molecule: ribosomal RNA, 119 nt
Filed under: Lepisosteus oculatus (spotted gar)
Lineage: Eukaryota; Metazoa; Chordata; Actinopteri; Semionotiformes; Lepisosteidae
Source: RNAcentral